RNAcentral lists this ribosomal RNA (371 nucleotides) under uncultured bacterium. RNAcentral's name for it is "bacterial SSU rRNA". It matches the Rfam family "Bacterial small subunit ribosomal RNA", at positions 28 to 392 of the family's 1533-position model. The record is from RNAcentral.
GACGAACGCUGGCGGCGUGCUUAACACAUGCAAGUGGAGCGACGAACCGGGGCUUGCCCCGGGGCAGAGCCGCGAACGGGUGAGUAACACGUGGGUAACCCACCCCGAUGACCGGGACAACCCGAGGAAACUCGAGCUAAUACCGGAUGUGCUCCUUGACCUUGAGGUCAAGGCGUAAAGAUAGCUUCGGCCUUCGCAUCGGGACGGGCCCGCGGCCCAUUAGCUUGUUGGUGGGGUAAAGGCCCACCAAGGCGACGAUGGGUAGCUGGUCUGAGAGGACGAUCAGCCACACUGGGACUGAGACACGGCCCAGACUCCUACGGGAGGCAGCAGUGGGGAAUCUUGCGCAAUGCGCGAAAGCGUGACGCAGC